Nicotiana attenuata is the source of this 2983-nucleotide long non-coding RNA. RefSeq lists it as uncharacterized. Lineage: Eukaryota; Viridiplantae; Streptophyta; Magnoliopsida; Solanales; Solanaceae. The transcript is spliced from 3 exons. The record is from RefSeq and is a predicted model, not a curated record.
UAUAUUCCUUCUCAAAGUUUAUUUUUGGUGUUGAUCAGACCCAAAUGGCAUUUUGCCUCUUUACUCAUUAGAACAUGUAACGAACAGAGAUGUGAACCAUGGACCAAAUAAUAACCGCUGAUUUUUAUGGUGUUCACGGUGGUGUUAGAUCAAAAAGUAACCAACAGAGCAAAAACAAUCAGAAGAUGGUUAUAGACAGUCGCAUCCCUCAACGGCAAGAAUGCCGGAGACGGAGAUACAAUAACAGAAAUGCAAAGGUCGCCGGAAUAAAUCUCUGGCCAUGUUCCAACGAGUUUUCAGCCAAAGCCCCGUGAGAUUCGAGUCUGUUUCAUGAACUGUAAGGAUGUAAAACAAGAAGCAGAAGAUUAGGCAAAGAUGUAAGUCCAUAUCUGUCGUUUUCAUGGAGUUUGCCGGAUAACAUAUACGUGACCUGAAAAUUCUUUUUUGCUCGGAUCUGGUUAGAUCUGGAUUUAUAUACAGCUUAUCUACUAAUUAAAAGACGAAAAACGGAGGAAACAUGGUCGCCGGAGUUCGUUUUGUUCCAGCCAUAUAUGAAAAUACCAGUUAGCAAACAAGACUACAUUGCGAGGGUGGCCAUUUGCAUCCAUUUCCUGUGAGCUCUCGACUCCGGUUGUCACCUGAAAAAUUCUUUUUAGUAAUGUUUCUUUCAUUUUCUUUUGAUCUCACUUAUUUUGAAACUUUAUGCUGGGUGGAAUGCGUGUAUAUGUCUGUGAUCAUGAAACAUCGCCUUCAGGUCUGUUUCUAUAUAUUUAUGCCUUUAAAUUGCGUAAGGAGCUGCAAUUCUAUAUAAACGAAUUAGCUGAGCAAUCGCUUUUUAUGGUGAAAAUUGAUUUAGCCUCUAUUCUCCUGUUUUUUUGUCCUUUGAAUGGAUUUACCUGCAUAUGGUUAUUUUAUUGCUUAGUGUUUGGCUUCUUGGACUUUGCAUAUGCACUUUUAUUUUAAGUCAUUGUAAAGCACUGAUAUCCUCUCAUUGUGUCUUGUCUAGUACAUGGUUGGCAUAUCUUAGAGAUAUCUCGCUAUCUUGAGUCUUGAUGAUUCAAGCAAUUUGAAUGUCUUUCUCUUUUUUUCUCCUUUUAAGAUUAUAAAUUCUAUGCUUUCCUCAUUUUACUAUUUUCUUCAAGGCUAGAUUGCUGCCUUCAUCAAUCUGGAUUGAAUUAUGUUUCACAAAAUGUUGUAUAUGCAAAGGAGCAGCUUAUUAAGAUAAACCAGCAAAACAUAUUGAUUAGGUCUCUCAUGCUUAAGAAGCAGAGGGGUGAUUAUAGUUCAAAAGAUGGCAAGGGGAUUUCCUCAAAUGACAAUGGUAGAAAAAGGACUGCUGAAAAAGCAUUGGAUAGUAGGGCAUCAAGCAAGAAGGCUACUACCAGUAACCAAGUUGCCUCUUGCCAAGGUGAGCCCAUUAUUAAUCAUCAUUUAUGGUCUUUGUAGGUGGUACGAUCAAAAAUAUUGUUAAACGAAGUGGUCUUUCAUAAAAAAUAUACUUCAAUUAUUGUGGUUCAUAAUUCUAUUGCUAAAUUGAAAAAGAAUAAAGCAGGUGGGUAUCCCUUAGCUCUCUAUUACGUCAUCUGUUUAAAUUGUCAAAUUUGACUUCUAAUUUAUAACUGAAAACUUUCAUUGCAUUGUUUGAGUAUCAGCGGUAAUACUUUUGGGUCCACAAAGUGAGAACAUUAGUAUUAUAUGCAAACAUACCCUUCAUUUUAUGAGACCAUUUGAUUGGGCACAAAGGAAUUUAAAGAUAUUACUUGCAACCAAUAAUGUGGCGUAGUGGUCAAUAAAGUGAGUUAAAAACUAUGAGGUCUUAGGUACAAAGAGGAGGUAUAAACACUAGGUGAUUUCUUUCCAUUCGUUUAAGCCUUGGUGGACAAAGUUACCCGGUGCUUAUGCUGGUGGGAGGUAGCAGGCACCCGGUGAAACAGACUCGAAUCUCACCGGGUAGCAGUGGGUAAAGUGGGCGACGGAAUAUGGUGAAGAAAGAAGAGGCGAAAGCAGGGAUGAGGAGAAGCAGCCACGACAGGAUCCAAAAAGUAAGUUUCUUUCUCUAUCUUUAAUGUUUGAUUUUGUGGGUGUUGGAUUGAUGAAAAUUGCUAUUACUUUAUUAAUAAAAAAAUCUCCAUACUGUACAAUUCUCACCCGUAAGAAAUUUGGAAGCAAAGAAGCACGAUUCCAUCAUCUCAAAUUCAAAAAGUAAGUUUUUUUCUCUAUCUUUAAUGUUUGAUUGUGUGGGUGUUGGGUUGAUGAAAAUUGCUAAUUAUUUUGGGUCUAGAAAUUACCUAAAAGACUACAAAAAGUUAGAAAUAACCUUAAUUGAAAAAUCUCAUACUACACAAAUUUCAUUUGCAAGUUGUCCGAAACCAAAAUCGUCGGCCACCAUCACAACCAAAAAAGUCAGUAAGUUUCUCUUUCUAUCUUUAGUGUUUGAUUGUGUAUGUGUUGGGUUGAUGAAAAUUGCUAAUUGGUUAGGUCUAUGGCUUCGAUUGUCAAUGUUCAAUUUACUGAAUGAGUAAAAUCUUUUUAUCUGUUCUAAUUUGGUAUUGAAGAAUCAUGGCAUUAGUUUUGAAUUAAACAAACUAUUAACUUUUCUAGCAUAUUUUUUUUAUAUGCAUUAUUCUUAUAGUUGUUUAACUUUAUUUUUCCUAUAUUCUAGAUCUGCACCUACAUAUUAGCGUUGAUCUAAUCAUUUUGUUGCUGGUUUGAUUGUAAAUAUCUCUUAAUAAAUAUUUCAUGGAUAUGCCAACUAAUUUGCUAGUCUCUUUCUGCAGCGUAAUGCUGAAGUAUCUGGUGCUAGGAUUCUUGAUGUGAUCAAAUGAUUCAGAACUUUUUCACUUUAGGUCAUAUGCUCAAAAAUUUCGCAUGUUGAAGAUUUCAAUAUGAUAAAGAGUUGCCGAAGCUAUUUGAAGAUAUUAUUUGAUAGGAUUAGUUAUAUGAGUUCAAUCACUAUAAGUUUAUUUAAAAAGUUGUGACAUUA